Non-coding RNA from Cinara cedri, 938 nucleotides. Lineage: Eukaryota; Metazoa; Arthropoda; Insecta; Hemiptera; Aphididae. The record is from the annotation of a GenBank genome assembly.
GAUAAUAUAUUAUACUAGCGUAUAAAAUAAUCUAACCUCAGUAGAUAGAUACACUUCGACCAAAAUAAAUAUUAUGUUUUUGAUCCUUUUCUCUGUGUGUAUAGAUAGAGGAUUGGUUACACUCUUGUGCGUCGUUUUCAAGUAUCAAAUAUCAUAAUAUAUAAUAUAUAAUACGUAAGUACGCGUAAUAAUUGAAAAAAAGAAUAUGAAAGAAAACAGUCUGUUCUGUCCGUCGAGCGUGGCUUUAUAAUGUCUUAUCCAUUUAAAUAAUAUUAUUGUGCAUGCGUUGAAUAGAUUGCCAUGUCUAUUUUUAGGUUACCGGACAUAUAAUUCGCUUAUGAUGGCGGUGUGAGGACGGAUUUAAAAGGGGGAAAUAAAAGGAAAUAGGAUCAUAAACAGAAAGCUUUUAAUGAAUGUAUUGCUUUCGCACUUUUGUUGUAACAAUUAUAGACCUAAAUUUAUUAGUACUUUAUUUAGUGCUUUGGCCAAAAAUUAGUCAAACAACGCCUGUCUAUAGCGAAUAGGGUAAUCCGGGAAGAACAAAAUAUAAAAUAUAUUUAUCAGUAUUUUUUCCUCCAUGAAAAGCAUUGUUUUAUCAUAGAUAAUACUGGUUAUAAUAAUUGAAUACGUACUCUAUGUGAUAUUAAUUAGGUAUGGUAAAUCAAUACUUUUCAUGGGAAAAAAAAUCAUGAACAAUUUCUUUUUUUUCUUCCUGGGUAAUUUUUGAUUGUCAAUUAUCAUAUUGAGUCCGAUUUUUCUCAAGGUCAAGUUUGCUAUAGUAUUAAUUGAUUAAUGGUUUUGACCGAGUGACCCAGAAUAAUUUUUAAAAAAACACCAAAAAAGGUUCAGUAUUAAAACAUGAAGAUUCCCGCACGGUUUAGACAUGAAUGGAACUUAAAGUCCCGCUGUACUUGGGAAAAAUCGUACAAUUUGAUAUA